UACGUACUGUGCGAACGUUAUUCGGAAUCACUGGGCUUAAAGGGUGCGUAGGCGGCUAAGUAAGUAGGGUGUGAAAUACCCCGGCUCAACCGGGGCAUUGCGCUCUAAACUGCUUGGCUUGAGUGAGAUAGGGGUGUGCGGAACUUCCAGUGGAGCGGUGAAAUGUGUUGAUAUUGGAAGGAACGCCGGUGGCGAAAGCGGCACACUGGGUCUUAACUGACGCUGAGGCACGAAAGCCAGGGGAGCGAACGGG
RNAcentral lists this ribosomal RNA (253 nucleotides) under uncultured bacterium. Its description in RNAcentral is "partial 16S ribosomal RNA". It matches the Rfam family "Bacterial small subunit ribosomal RNA", at positions 524 to 776 of the family's 1533-position model. The record is from RNAcentral.